CCAGCAGCUGCGGUAAUUCCAGCUCCAAUAGCGUAUAUUUAAGUUGUUGCAGUUAAAAAGCUCGUUGUUGGAUUUCGGGUGGGUUCCAGCGGUCCGCCUAUGGUGAGUACUGCUGCGGCCCUCCUUUUUGUCGGGGACGGGCUCCUGGGCUUCACUGUCCGGGACUCGGAGUCGACGAUGAUACUUUGAGUAAAUUAGAGUGUUCAAAGCAAGCGUUCGCUAUGAAUACAUUAGCAUGGAAUAACAUGAUAGGACUCUGGCUUAUCUUGUUGGUCUGUAAGACCGGAGUAAUGAUUAAGAGGGACAGUCGGGGGCAUUCGUAUUUCAUUGUCAGAGGUGAAAUUCUUGGAUUUAUGAAAGACGAACUUCUGCGAAAGCAUUUGCCAAGGAUGUUUUCAUUAAUCAAGAACGAAAGU
RNAcentral lists this ribosomal RNA (416 nucleotides) under uncultured eukaryote. Its description in RNAcentral is "SSU rRNA". It matches the Rfam family "Eukaryotic small subunit ribosomal RNA", at positions 567 to 990 of the family's 1831-position model. The record is from RNAcentral.